UACGGAAGGGGCUAGCGUUGUUCGGAAUUACUGGGCUUAAAGCGCACGUAGGCGGCCUUGUAAGUUGGGGGUGAAAUCCCGGAGCUCAACUCCGGAACUGCCUCCAAAACUGCAAAGCUCGAGGAUGUGAGAGGAGAGUGGAAUUCCGAGUGUAGAGGUGAAAUUCGUAGAUAUUCGGAAGAACACCAGUGGCGAAGGCGACUCUCUGGCACAUUUCUGACGCUGAGGUGAGAAAGCGUGGGGAGCAAACAGG
RNAcentral lists this ribosomal RNA (253 nucleotides) under uncultured bacterium. RNAcentral's name for it is "partial 16S ribosomal RNA". It matches the Rfam family "Bacterial small subunit ribosomal RNA", at positions 524 to 776 of the family's 1533-position model. The record is from RNAcentral.